This 451-nucleotide ribosomal RNA is filed under the name uncultured bacterium. RNAcentral's name for it is "partial 16S ribosomal RNA". It matches the Rfam family "Bacterial small subunit ribosomal RNA", at positions 28 to 523 of the family's 1533-position model. The record is from RNAcentral.
GAUGAACGCUGGCGGUGUGCCUAAUACAUGCAAGUCGAACGAGGUCUUCGGACCUAGUGGCGAACGGGUGAGUAACACGUUGGUACCUACCCUCUAGUGGGGAAUAGCUGGCCGAAAGGUCGGCUAAUACCGCAUAAUACCGCAAGGUUAAAGAAGUAAUACGCUAGAGGAGGGGCCUGCGUCCCAUUAGCUUGUUGGUAGUGUAAUGGACUACCAAGGCAACGAUGGGUAGCUGGAUCGAGAGGUUGACCAGCCACACUGGGACUGAGAUACGGCCCAGACUCCUACGGGAGGCAGCAGUAAGGAAUCUUCCACAAUGGGCGAAAGCCUGAUGGAGCAACACCGCGUGCAGGAUGACGGCCUUCGGGUUGUAAACUGCUUUUAUAUGGGAAGAUUAUGACGGUACCAUAUGAAUAAGCACCGGCUAACUACGUGCCAGCCGCCGCGGUAA